CUACGGGAGGCAGCAGUGAGGAAUAUUGCACAAUGGGGGGAACCCUGAUGCAGCAACGCCGCGUGGAGGAUGACGCAUUUCGGUGUGUAAACUCCUUUUAUAUGUCAAGAAAAUGACGGUAGCAUAUGAAUAAGCACCGGCUAACUCCGUGCCAGCAGCCGCGGUAAUACGGAGGGUGCAAGCGUUACUCGGAAUCACUGGGCGUAAAGGACGCGUAGGCGGGAUAGCAAGUCAGGUGUGAAAUCCUACAGCUUAACUGUAGAACUGCACUUGAAACUGGUAACCUGGAGUAUGGGAGGGGGAGAUGGAAUUAGUGGUGUAGGGGUAAAAUCCGUAGAUAUCACUAGGAAUACCUAAAGCGAAGGCGAUCUCCUGGAACAUAACUGACGCUAAGGCGUGAAAGCGUGGGGAGCAAACAGGAUUAGAUACCCCCGUAGUC
Molecule: ribosomal RNA, 439 nt
Filed under: uncultured bacterium
Lineage: Bacteria
Description: partial 16S ribosomal RNA
Rfam family: Bacterial small subunit ribosomal RNA
Source: RNAcentral